UCGCUUGCGCAGAAACCCUAGUCGCCACAUCACGGCCGCCUCGCUCGAUCGGCAUACCGGUCGCCUUGCUCCCAUUUCUCACCUCCAUCUCUCUUCAGUCUUCAGAUCUGUGCACGGCCACAUCAAGCAUGUGCCUCUCCUUUCUCUGAUGUUGGGAGCGUAGCAUAGUAAGCCGGUUGCCGCGAGGUACUGUGAUUUGUGUUUGCGUCUCGGUCCUUUUGAUUGAUGCGGUUUUGGUUGUUUUUUUCUUCCGUUUGUGUGCGUCUUUUUGCCGGAUCACACGGAUCGAUGAUGCUGUUCAAGAAAUACUGCGUUAUCUUCCUGAUACAAAUGUGAGGCCGUCGUUGCGAUGGCCUCCUGAUGACUCAACUGUCUUGCUGAGAUCCAAGUGACAACAAAUCGGCAGCUCUUCUUUCUGUCGCCUCCCCGCCUCAAUCAUCUGCCUAUGCCUAUCAAUUGAAUGUCUCGUAGUCGUAGGACAGGUGUUUUUAUUUUCGUCGCUCAAUCCAUCUUGCCGCCCUGCUAUAAGAGCAUAUGUAACUGCCUUGCUUGCUUCAUAUGGUUGAAUUAAUACGAUCUGACUAGCCAGAUUUAGAAUGGUUGCUUCAUCAAACCAUCAAAUAAUUGAGCCCAAUCCAUCGAUGUUGCAAACCUAUGUGACCUCAACCAGACCAGUUGCAGUUUCAGUGCAGAGUUCAGACAAGCAUUCCUGAAAGGUCACCAACUCUUUGCUGCAUAUUAGCUUUUUUUAUAGCAAUUACUCAAACCGCUUUUCAGACCAUAACCGAAAUUAGCAGCACAUGACGUCUGAGACAGACAGAAAGUAUGGCAUCAGGGAAAAAAAAAAGGUCCCAAGCUAAACAGCAAGUGUAAAGCCAGCUAAUGCAGUUCACAAAUACUUGCAGCGACUUAAACUGCACCAAUUAACACAGUGAAGAUGAACACAGCAAAGUCAAGUACGUGCAUGUUAACCGAACACAGCCGAAUACGGUGCUACCAGUUUACUGAGAUGGUAUCUGGCGGAAGAAAGGUUAACUGAGUUAUGACACGAUUACAUUACAGGCAAUGCGGAAGCAAACUACGGUGUCAGCGUUUAACACCACUUUUCACAGUAUUGUCAAGCAAGCUUAUGUACAGCUGCUCUAACGAAUUUACAGUGACUCCAGCAAGCUCUAUCUCACGACUGAUGAUGGCGGAGCUUCCCCUAGUGUCUCCUAACCGUCAGCGGCAUAGAAAGGAAUCGACUUCAGUGGCAUCACCUUCUCCUGCAAUAUAAGGAAGUGCUGUCAGUGAAUUCUAACCUAUGCCUGGUAAGAAAAU
This 1320-nucleotide long non-coding RNA is filed under the name Setaria italica (foxtail millet). Its description in RNAcentral is "long non-coding RNA (SITA_LNC006651)". The record is from RNAcentral. Lineage: Eukaryota; Viridiplantae; Streptophyta; Magnoliopsida; Poales; Poaceae.